UAGACCUGCUCUAUGUGAAAAGUGCCCUGAGACAACUUCUGUUGUGAUUUGGCGCUAUAUAAAUAACAUUUACUUUACUUGACAAGGACUGUCGAUUUUGUCCCUCAUCACUUAUGUUAAAAUUGUUUUUAAAAGAGAUAUCUGUGCAGCCAGCAUGGACUGGAGGAAUAAUUACAGUGUCCAAUAAUGCUUCCAAUGUACAUAUGGACAUAUGAGCAUUGUUUCAACAUAGACUUGAAAAAAAUGCAAACCUGUCUUUCAAGGUAGAUUCAAAGCUUUGUGUUUGAAAAGAUGCAUGUUUUUCUUUUCCAAACUUGCAUGGAAGAUCCAGUAUUGCCCUCAACUGGGAAGGAAGCAGCAGGCCACUGCAAAGACUCCCAUCAGUAAUAAGGUGGUUCACUCUUAUCACUAUUAGGAUCAAGGCAAGAACACAAAAUCACAUACACACACAAUAUAAAGUAUAUCUGCUUUUGUGCCUAUCAAUUUGUGAACUGUAUAGUCACUACACAGUGUACACACUUGCUCAUAAUUUCUUCGUUUCUAUUAUUAAGGUUAUUUCUACUACUCAUUUCCGCCUAGUUUUUCAAAUCUGAAUUUGAUUGAUAUCUUGUUACUUCUGUCCAUAAAGUAAUCCUUUCUGUCCUCCUCAGUGUUUAGUCAUCUCCCAGGCACUACGCCAGCACCACCCUGUACCAGAGAGCUCAAAUCCUUGCAUGGGGCAGGUUCAGUGUGAUCUGGCCUGGGACCAUGAGGGCUAUGAAGUCUGCAUCAAAACAUUCUUAAUGAAUCAUUUUACAUUGGAAUCAUGAGUGAAGCCUUUUCUAGUUAAACUACUGUUAAUUGUGCUUGACAUCUUUAGUGUAUUUUUUUUGUAUUCACUGAAUUUGUAUUUCCUACUGAUUUAACACUGAAUAAAUGUAUACAUUAUGCUGCAGACAGAUACCUUUUUUAUUAACCUUGAAAUAUAACUUGCAGGCACAUAAAGUGACAAAAAUGAUCAAAACAAAAUGAUUUUAUUGGAGGCAGAAAAGCAAUGUUAAUGUAAAAAUACUGAAGCCCAGUUCCCUUCUAAUCUCAAUGAGUAUACCACAAUAUUGAUUAUAUCUCCACAUGAUCA
This is a long non-coding RNA of Thunnus maccoyii (southern bluefin tuna), 1117 nucleotides long. RefSeq lists it as uncharacterized. The transcript is spliced from 2 exons. Lineage: Eukaryota; Metazoa; Chordata; Actinopteri; Scombriformes; Scombridae. The record is from RefSeq and is a predicted model, not a curated record.